Molecule: long non-coding RNA, 453 nt
Organism: Mytilus trossulus (common blue mussel)
Lineage: Eukaryota; Metazoa; Mollusca; Bivalvia; Mytilida; Mytilidae
Exons: 2
Source: RefSeq, a predicted model, not a curated record
UUAUAAAUCGAAACUUUCCUCAAUUAAUUAGUUCCGUAUUACACAUUAUACAGUCACAGUCAUGUGAAUAUUCAUCAACUUCCUGAUUAAUCAGAUGGAGAUGAAAAAUAGUCCACAUUCAAACUCUCGUGUUUCAUGGCGACUUCCUCUCAAAGCUGUUGUGUUUGUGACCUCCGACUGAUCACCAAGCCGUGCGUUGUUUGGUGUACAGAAUGCGAUGAAGGCCUAUGUAAGGAAUGUCAUGAACAUCAUAGUUUGUCCAAGGCGUCGAGGAGCCAUAGUGUGAUACCAUUUACCGAUUACCAAAAAUUACCAAGCGAUGUACUGAAGAUCACUCAAUACUGUAGCGAACACAAUAAAAAGUUUGAAAUGUUUUGCCAGAAACACGAACGACCUUGCUGCAGCAAAUGUAUAGUAGAUUCACAUAAAAAAUGUCGGGAUAUCGUCGACUUA